Molecule: ribosomal RNA, 252 nt
Filed under: uncultured bacterium
Lineage: Bacteria
Description: partial 16S ribosomal RNA
Rfam family: Bacterial small subunit ribosomal RNA
Source: RNAcentral
UACGUAGGGGGCGAGCGUUGUCCGGAAUUAUUGGGCGUAAAGGGUACGUAGGCGGUAAUCCAAGUCCGUUGUGAAAGAAUAGGGCUCAACCCUGUCAAGCAGUGGAAACUAGAUUACUUGAGUGAAGGAGAGGAAAGUGGAAUUCCUAGUGUAGCGGUGAAAUGCGUAGAUAUUAGGAGGAAUACCGGUGGCGAAGGCGACUUUCUGGACUUUAACUGACGCUGAGGUACGAAAGCGUGGGGAGCAAACAGG